This 255-nucleotide ribosomal RNA is filed under the name uncultured bacterium. RNAcentral's name for it is "partial 16S ribosomal RNA". It matches the Rfam family "Bacterial small subunit ribosomal RNA", at positions 524 to 776 of the family's 1533-position model. The record is from RNAcentral.
UACGUAGGUGGCGAGCGUUGUCCGGAUUUAUUGGGCGUAAAGCGCGCGCAGGUGGUGCGGUAAGUCUGCCGUGAAAUCUCCCGGCUCAACUGGGAGGGGGCGGUGGAGACUGCCGGACUAGAGGGACUCAGAGGCCGGUGGAAUUCCCGGUGUAGUGGUGAAAUGCGUAGAGAUCGGGAGGAACACCAGUGGCGAAGGCGGCCGGGCUGGGGGGUGCCCUGACGCUGAGGCGCGAAAGCGUGGGGAGCGAACAGG